GAUGCCUCAGCCUUCACGCGGUAUGUCAACAGGGCAAUGCAGUCUAGACAUUCAACGUCGUCUUAAGGCUUAUAAUCUACAGGAAUAUGAAGCUGAUUCUGAUAAGCAGUUAUGUGGUCAUGCCACUGAUUACAACUCAGAUACCCGCGGUCCGAUGACUAGACCUCAAAGUUUUGCCCCUCUUAGUUGCGGAGAACCAAGACCAGCUGAAUUUGGACUUCCCUUCUCCUCAGCAGAGAGUGACGCCUCUCUCUAUACCAGUGAGAGGUAUCAGGUUUGAGGGACCAACCUGUGCCUACAGUUCUAGGAUUGCUCCAAUACUUCGUAUGCCAUCUGGAAUUUCACCACUGCAGAGUCCAGGUUCGGGUACCCCUUGGGAAUCUUCCUGUCAGGCGAAUCCAUUCCUCAUGUUAAAUUGUGAAAGUAGGAGCUCUCAGCAGUUGCACUCACAGAGUGAUCAAAACAACAGUGACUCGACAGAUUACAAUGAGGGUAAGAGAGGACACAAUUCUGAACCUACACCUGAUUGCCAACGCUUUCCAUCUGCAACUGAUCAAACUACAAAUAGCAUUUGCUGCAAUGGUGAUCUAAACCAUGCUCAUCUGAGUUAUGGAAGCAACGGAAACAUCACACUUCCACUCAGCAAAACACCAGCAGAGUAUAGGAAAGAAGAAAGCUUUCACGCUCCUGAUGGAAAUUCUCAUCGAUCUCAAAGAGAAGCAGCUCUUACAAAAUUUCGCAUGAAGCGGAAAGAUAAGAUGCUUUGAAAAGAAGGUAAGAUAUGAAAGCAGGAAAAAAUUUGCUGAGCAGCGUCCCAAAGUGUCACGACCCAAUUUCCGAGUCAUGAUGGCACCUACCACAUCCCACCGGUAGGUAAGCCGGUACCAUAAUCCGGAGCUAUUGCAAUGGGUUACCUUGGUAAGAACGUCCAACUUGGACCCUAUAUGUGAACACAACAUAUAACAACAACAUUUCACAACUAAGGACAAUCGAUAUUCAAACACAAAUCCCACGACCUGAUAGUAUUAAUACAAGAGCUUCUAAACUUGACAAGAGGACUUUACAAUCUCAGAAUCUAAAAUGCCUUACACAAUCUCAUACAUUUGUCUCGAAAGCAAAAGACAAAUAAGGAUAGAAGAGAUAGAGGGCAACUCGAUCCCCAAGAGCUCACCCUGUCUCCGAAUAGUCAACUCGUACGAACUAGCUCAACGGCGGCAACUAGAACCUAGGCCUGCACCAAAAAGGUAUAGAAGUGUAGUAUGAGUACCAAAACACUGGUACUCAGUAGGCAUCAUCGGCCGACUGAGCUCAAAUAUAAUGUAUAGACGAUAUAAAGAAAGACAAUGACCUUAAAGUCAAGGGAUAGGAUCGUAUCUGAAUCUACUUUGAUACCACUGUAACAUCUGUACUAUUAAAGCAAUAACAUGACAUACUAUUUCAAUAUA
Capsicum annuum is the source of this 1445-nucleotide long non-coding RNA. RefSeq lists it as uncharacterized. The record is from RefSeq and is a predicted model, not a curated record. NCBI's taxonomy places the organism in Eukaryota, Viridiplantae, Streptophyta, Magnoliopsida, Solanales, Solanaceae. The transcript has 3 exons.